CUAUCCAGUUUAUGACAUAGCCAAUAAGAAAUUCAGUGACAGGCAGUUAUAAAGGAUUUCAUCACAGAUCAUUAAAGCAAGUCAGGAAGAGAUUUCACAGCCUUAUAGCACUUUACCACAGAUAGCCCAUUGGGUAGGGCAUUGUUUUAAUCAUCUUUUCCCUUGAAGCAGAGUUAGGCGUGCUCAAAGAGCAGCACUAUGCAAACUACUGAUUGAAGUCUUUGUUUGAAAUCUCUGGAGCCUGCUACCGUUUCCAGUUCUACCUGCAGGGAGAGUCUGCGGCACAAGCAAAAAUGGAAGCUGAGAGCACGUUGGACUGAUCGAUCCUCAUUAUGAACAAAGGGCCACAAGCUUCAGGCACCUCAAAAGAAUUUGUUAUUGAGGCUGCAGGACACCAACAGUCCCUCUGGUUCUCUAUCUCCCAGGCCAUGCUGCAUGGUGUCCCCACCCAGAGAUGCUGUAAUUCCUGGCCUGGAUUAUGCAGGCACAGAGUGGCUUGCUGACUAUACUACAGGCACUUUUCAGCAGCAUGACAUUCACUU
This is a non-coding RNA of Chelonoidis abingdonii (Abingdon island giant tortoise), 542 nucleotides long. The record is from RefSeq and is a predicted model, not a curated record. Lineage: Eukaryota; Metazoa; Chordata; Testudines; Testudinidae.